UAUUUUCAUUCUCUUUUCAUGCUAUACCCCUAUUACUAUGAUAGGUAUAACAACUAUAAAGUUGAAUUAUUACACAAAAAAUGCUACAUUCUUCUAAUUAAUUUAGAUUCGUUUGAUACUUUGCAGCCUAUAUAGGCGUUUAUAUUUAUAUUAACAUUAUCUUUAUUACUGCUGUCGUUUGCAGUUUUAAUAAUUAAUUUUCAAACUAAUCUGUCAUUAUACAAUCUGAUGAUGUAGUGAAUGACUUCCUAUUUUGUGCAGUAUAGUAUUGACAGAAAUCUCUUGGGAUGAAUUAUAUCCAUCUCUUCUGAGACUACCUCAUCAUCAAUCUUCCCAUUUUUUCUAUCAUCAUUUUAAUCAGUACCUGCUUGCCUCCGGCUCCUCUUCCUCUAUAGGCUUGCAUCCAGGCUCUGUGCAUUGCACGGCGUUCCUACCCGCAUGCUUAAGAGGAUCAUUUCCUCUUUUUCCCAUCCCUCCUUCCAUCUAUCUGGGAUUCUCCAUCUGGGACUUUGAGCCAAUCACGGCCAAUCAUUCAGGUUUUUUUAGUCCACUUUUACAGACUACUGCCCCCCAUUGGUUCCUGACGAAGCCCC
Long non-coding RNA from Rana temporaria (common frog), 593 nucleotides. RefSeq lists it as uncharacterized. The record is from RefSeq and is a predicted model, not a curated record. The transcript has 3 exons. NCBI's taxonomy places the organism in Eukaryota, Metazoa, Chordata, Amphibia, Anura, Ranidae.